AGGGCACCACCAGGAGUGGAGCCUGCGGCUUAAUUUGACUCAACACGGGAAAACUUACCUGGUCCUGACACUAGAAGGAUUGACAGAUUGAUAGCUCUUUCUUGAUUUGGUGGAUGGUGGUGCAUGGCCGUUCUUAGUUGGUGGAGUGAUUUGUCUGGUUAAUUCCGAUAACGAACGAGACUCUAGCCUAUUAAAUAACACGCAGAAUCUUGUCUUCUGCGGUGUUUCUUAAUGGGAUCAAGUGUGUUUAACGCUUUGAAACAGAGCAAUAACAGGUCUGUGAUGCCCUUAGAUGUUCGGGGCUGCACGCGCGCUACAUUGAAAGACAAAAUGAGCCUUCUAGUUUUUAAUAAAGCUAGUAAUCUUUGAAUGUUUUUCUUAAUGGGGAUAGGGGAUUGCAAUUGUGCCCCUUGAACGAGGAAUUCCCAGUAAGUGCUAAUCAUUAGUUAGUACUGAUUACGUCCCUGCCCUUUGUACGCACCGCCCGUCGCUACUACCGAUUGAAUGGUUUAGUGAGAU
This 519-nucleotide ribosomal RNA is filed under the name uncultured eukaryote. RNAcentral describes it as "SSU rRNA". It matches the Rfam family "Eukaryotic small subunit ribosomal RNA", at positions 1161 to 1707 of the family's 1831-position model. The record is from RNAcentral.